CUCGUAGGCGGUUUGUCAAGUUAGGUGUGAAAUCCCCGGGCUUAACCUGGGACGUGCACUUAAAACUGUCAGGCUAGAGUCUGGGAGGGGAUAGCGGAAUUCUGGGUGUAGAGGUGAAAUUCGUAGAUAUCCGGAGGAACACCAGAGGCGAAGGCGGCUAUCUGGACCAGAACUGACGCUGAGGAGCGAAAGCGUGGGGAGCAAACA
Molecule: ribosomal RNA, 207 nt
Filed under: uncultured bacterium
Lineage: Bacteria
Description: partial 16S ribosomal RNA
Rfam family: Bacterial small subunit ribosomal RNA
Source: RNAcentral